AUUAACGCUAGCGGCAGGCAUAAUACAUGCAAGUUGAACGGCAGCACAGGUAGCAAUACUGGGUGGCGAGUGGCGCACGGGUGCGUAACACGUAUGCAACCUACCCUAUACAGGCGAAUAACCUUUAGAAAUGAGGGCUAAUACGCCGUAGUAUUACAGAUGGGCAUCUAUUUGUAAUUAAAGAUUUUAUCGGUAUAGGAUGGGCAUGCGUCCCAUUAGUUAGUUGGUAAGGUAACGGCUUACCAAGACGAU
Molecule: ribosomal RNA, 252 nt
Filed under: uncultured bacterium
Lineage: Bacteria
Description: partial 16S ribosomal RNA
Rfam family: Bacterial small subunit ribosomal RNA
Source: RNAcentral